Molecule: long non-coding RNA, 515 nt
Organism: Drosophila kikkawai
Lineage: Eukaryota; Metazoa; Arthropoda; Insecta; Diptera; Drosophilidae
Source: RefSeq, a predicted model, not a curated record
UACAGAAUAUUAUACAACAGAAAACUAUAAAAAAAGCAAAACUAUAUAAUCCCUUCCAUUCGAAGAACCCCUUGACUUGGUGUUCUGUUAGAGCCCCAAUGUCGCACUGUGGCAAAAUGUCAGCGAACGCAUUUGAACUUUUCAUUGCUGUUGCAGCAGCAGCAGCAGCCAAACUUCCCACGUAAAAUUAGCAACUGGAGGGGGGAAUGGGCAUCUCCGCCCACUGAGAGGCCGGCCGUGCCUCUGGGUCUGCCCUCGAUUCGGAUUCGGAUACAGAUUUGGACUUGGAUUCGGCUGCCAUGUUGCACAAUCCCGGCCAGCAGCAGCAGCAGCAGUCGCAGCACGGUGUCGUUGCACGAGUUCAGGGUCAGUUGGCGUUGCACUCAGCGCCCAGCAGCUAAAAACUGGGUGUGGGUUGAAACACUUGGGUGGAUGCACUUGCAGAAAUAUUGGGGGGUUACUUUGUCAUGUAAAUUACAGAUAAUUUGAUAAAGGAUUCAAUAUCUUAAGGAUAA